GUUUAAGUAAAUACAAAUCAAUGAAAUUUAAACACAAUGUUAAUGACUACAAAAGGAAGGUUGGUAUUGAUUUUGGGAGUUUAGGUCCCAACAGUUUAGGAAUUAGGGGCCAAAAAGGGACCCAAAUAAGCAUUUUUCUUGGUUUUCGCACCAUAACGUUAGUAUAAGUAAAUAGAAAUCUAUGAAAUUUAAACACAAGGUUUAUGACCAUAAAAGGAAGGUUGGUAUUGAUUUUGGGAGUUUUGGUCCCAACAGAAUAAGGGCCCAAAGGGUCCAAAAUUAAACUUUGUUUGAUUUCAUCAAAAUUGAAUAAUUGGGGUUCUUUGAUAUGCCGAAUCUAACUGUCAUGACUGUGUAUGUAGAUUCUUAACUUUUGGUCCCGUUUUCAAAUUGGUCUACAUUAAGGUCCAAAGGGUCCAAAAUUAAACUUAGUUUGAUUUUGACAAAAAAUGAAUCAGUUAGGUUCUUUGAUAUGCUGAAUCUAAAAAUGUACUUAGAUUCUUGAUCAUUGGCCCAGUUUUCAAGUUGGUCCAAAUCGGG
This 540-nucleotide long non-coding RNA is filed under the name Mytilus galloprovincialis (Mediterranean mussel). The record is from RNAcentral. Lineage: Eukaryota; Metazoa; Mollusca; Bivalvia; Mytilida; Mytilidae.